GGGCCCGUGGCGCAGCCUGGAUAGCGCGGCAGCCUCCUAAGCUGUAGGUCGUGGGUUCGAAUCCCACCGGGCCCG
RNAcentral lists this transfer RNA (75 nucleotides) under Nitrososphaerota archaeon. RNAcentral's name for it is "Thaumarchaeota archaeon (hot springs metagenome) tRNA-Arg". It matches the Rfam family "tRNA". Rfam says of the family: Transfer RNA (tRNA) molecules are approximately 80 nucleotides in length. Their secondary structure includes four short double-helical elements and three loops (D, anti-codon, and T loops). The record is from RNAcentral. Lineage: Archaea; Thermoproteati; Nitrososphaerota. RNAcentral also lists the same sequence under 1 other name.